Molecule: RNA transcript, 4837 nt
Organism: Phragmites australis (common reed)
Lineage: Eukaryota; Viridiplantae; Streptophyta; Magnoliopsida; Poales; Poaceae
Exons: 7
Source: RefSeq, a predicted model, not a curated record
CGUUGAUUGGGGAUGGUGCCGCCGCCUUGCAGAUAUUUCUUACUCGGAGCCUCCCCUGUUUGGAUGCGUAGACAGCCUUUCUCCUCCGUACAACUACCUCGACAAUAUUCCUUUCCCCUUCCGCUCCUGCCUUCUCAUCCGCUUCCAUCCUCCAGCUUGGCCAAGAAAUCAAUCCAACGAAGAGAGGAAGACAGAUAUUGAUUGGGCGAGAUGGUUCACUUGCCGCACCUGGGGAAGCUGCGGCGGGAGGUCAAGGAGGAGGUGGUGGACGCCGACGGCCCCACCGCGGCGGCGGAGGCGUCGCCGUUCCACAAGAGGUCCCGCCUCGCGCACCAGCACCAGCACCAGCACCAGCAGCAGCAAUGGAACACAAGUGGUGCUAGCGUGUCAAAUCAGCAGUCGUCACAGCAUGAUUUCCUUGAUGAGCCUAGCCCGCUUGGCCUGCGGCUGAAGAAGAGCCCCUCUCUGUUGGAUUUGAUUCAAAUGAAGCUUGCACAGGCCAGUAAGACCACAGAAACUCGGCAAUCCAGCAACACUAGCGCCUCAGAGAAACUGAAGGCUUCCAAUUUUCCUGGUUCUGUUCUGCGUAUCGGGUCUUGGGAGUGGAUGUCAAGGUAUGAAGGAGAUCUGGUUGCAAAAUGCUAUUUUGCAAAGCACAAACUUGUGUGGGAAGUACUAGAUGGUGGUCUGAAGAGCAAAAUUGAGAUACAAUGGUCUGAUAUCUGUGGACUGAAGAUGUUUUGUCCAGAAAAUGAACCUGGGACCUUGGAGAUUGCGUUGUCUAGGCAACCACUUUUCUUCAGAGAAACUAACCCACAGCCAAGAAAGCAUACUUUGUGGCAGGCAACCUCUGAUUUUACUGGUGGACAGGCAAGCAUGCACAGGAGGCACUUUCUACAGUGCCUGCCAGGAAUGAUGAAUAAGCAUGUGGAGAAGCUUGUUCACUGCGACCCGCGUCUGUACUCACUAAGCCAGCAAAAUGACAUAAAUUUGGAGAAUCCUUACUUUGAAUUAAAUUGUUCCAUAUUUGAAGAUCCGGAGGAUAUAAAGUGCCAAAAAUUUGAGCAUAAAGAUGACGACGACCAUUUAGGCACACAGAGAUCUAAUGCAAUAAUAUUACCUCAUUCUCCUGUGGGUAUGAUAGAUGCUGAAGCAAGGCAACAAGCUGGAACGUCCGAUAUCUUGCCUGGACACUUCCCUAGUUCAGUUGCCGGUACUCACAUAAUUAAGCAAGAUGCUGCUUCUGCUGAGUGUGGAACACAUCCAAACAUCUUCAAUUGCAACAGUUUCAGGGUGCCCAGGAUCAGGCGUUCCAUGUCCAAGAGCGAGAUUGCAAACUACAUAGGGCAUCAAAUGUACAAACAUAUGCACUCGGGGAACAUACCUGCAACUGACGCUGCUACUGGCUCAUCGGGUAAACUGAUGCUGGAUGAAUUGACCCAGUACCUCUUGAGCGACUCUCAGAUCACCAACAAUGGCUGUUGUUCAACCAGUAAACUGGAAUUCGAUGAUCUGACCCGGCGGCUCCUGAAUGACACCCAGAUUACCGACGCGGCUGAUGAGAGGAUGCUCAUGUCUAGAGUGAACUCUCUCUGCUGCCUGAUUCAGACAGACUCAGGCUUGAGCCAGGCAAAUCCUGGCGUCAGUGGUGUCAAUGAGAUGUAUGAAAGCAAGCCCCAGACAAAUGCGCCUACGGUGCGAGGUGAUGGUGGCAAUGGCUUAUUGCCGCCAAGGCAAGAAUCAUUUGGAGAUCUCCUGACCAAUCUGCCGCGCAUCGCAUCAUUUCCUCACUUCUUGUGACUUUGGUAUAAGGUAGCAAAUAUGGAGUGGGAUUAAGUGCUUGGGUACAAGUGUACAACCGUACAAGUUGGUCUCAGAAAUUGUGGCGUGCAGAAAUUUUUGCGGCUAUGUGGCUACAUUCCCACAAGAAAAUGUACAAUAUUCAGAGUUGGGAAGAAUUCCCUGUGGCUAACCUUGAAGUAAAUGGGCAUAGAAGUGAUGACUAGGCUCUUCAGUUUCAACACUUGGGGCCAGUUGGAUGGGUCAGGGUUUGGGCCGAGCCAAACUAUCAGCAACCUACAUGAAGAUGACGCUGACCAAGAGGCAAUUCAAAAGGAUGAGCCCCUAAUAAAUAAAAAAAGGUUGAGCCGAUAAGAAGCAAGCGGGCUCGGCAGACUAGGGUUUGAGUGCAUGAGCCUGAGUGGACCCAAUACAAAAACCUCCUCUAUUCUACUCUAAUAAUCUGCCCCAAUUCUUGCUCUAACUCUAUUUAAUCCCAUGAGGUUUGAUGCUCCGUUCAUAUAACCUCUUAAGAUAAAAUGGUCCACAUAGUCCCACAACUUCGCAAAACAGGUUAAAUAACAUCCUAAGGAAAUUUACUGUGGCAGUUUUUCCUCCAUAUCAUUUUAGAAUGGUGGUUUUCACCACUAGGCAAGGGCGGGCCCGUGUAGGUUCAAGGGUAAGAUUUUUGUGCAAAAACUUAAUGUUGUAUUUUGUGGACUGGUGGCUAAGCUCAAUUCGUGACAACCCAACCUAGCAACCUCUGUAGCCCAACUCCCAUCGCCUUAUCGCUGAAUCCCAACAAGCAAUUGAUGCCUAUGAGGCUAUGGUCGGUCCUAACGGCACCGGCCCAAUCGAUCAAUCUGAUCCAAGUAUCUAAUGCCAUAACGUCUAAAGGCCAAACCCCCAAUUCAAGAAUUUGAGAAUGGAAAUAGAGGGUGGCGGCGGCACUAGCACAAGCGCAGCUCGCUGUGACCACAGCGGCGCAAGCGCAACGGCGCUCCUCGGUGUUACUUCCGAUUCUGAAGGUGAUUUGUUGAUUUGUUCAGUUGUUCAUACUUCAUAGAUAUUAUUGCUAUUUUCUAUAUUGUUGUUCAAUGUUCAUACAUCAUAGUGCUAAUUUUUUGUUCAUAUUGCUAAUUUAGAGUUUAGAGUUUUAGACAGGUAAAAGUUCUGAGUUCUAACUCAUGAAUCAUGAAUAUGAGGAGCUUCUCCCAUCUGGUUAUCGGAUUCAACCUUUGAUCUUAUGGCUUGGUUUGGGAGAGUUAUUAUAAAUAAUAUGAUGUUUAUAAAUGUUUGAAAUCCCUAAAGAAAGUCAUUAUCCUUUUGUUGCUAAUUAUGACAAAUUAGAUGGCAAAUACAACUUGCUUAACAAGGAGCAUGAAAGAGCUUAGUGCAAAAUUUAAGGAUCUUGAGCUAGGGAACUUAUGCUUAUCGGAUCAUCUGGUGUUCAUAGUUUUCUUAGUCUGGGAGGCAAUAACUAGUUUUGGGGGUUGUGUCGAGACCAGUCUAAGGAAAAGACUAAUCUCAUCUAUAUGCUAAACCUAGAAAUUAAUCCCAACACAUAGUAACUUCAUAGAAAAAAAUCAUUACUACAUCACAUUUAAUCAUUAUUUAAACAACUUACAAAAGUGACCUUGAAGGGUCAAGAUCCAAAUAAAACUACAGUGAAACUACGUAGACUCUAAACCUUCACAGUGACUCCAUAGACAAACCGACAUAGAAAGCAUCUUAGAACGAUCCAUAUUUAGAAAACUCUUCAUAGCUUCUCCAACUGAGUGUUUGGUGAUAGCAAGAGUGAUCACAUGUCGUGUUCAACAAGUUGUGAUGAAAAAAUAUAUAUAUAAAGGCUUGAUAACGAUAUGGCAAUAUGGAUCUUUUGCAUAAAACAAAAUUUAUGUAAAACAUUUGAAAAUCAGUAAUAAUUAAGUGAAUAACCAUAAAUAAAUAAUCACCUCAAGAUUCCAACCAUCUUAACUUAACCAACCUUUCAACACCUCAACUAAAGUUCUCAUCACGAAGAUUGAACAACACCUCAAUCAUAGUUCCCACCACUAUAAUUGACCAAACCAACCAAACCAUCAAAUUCUAAUCAUGUGAGGUUUUCCUUGCCACUCAUAACCGUGAGUAUCACUGAUUAACUAGUUUUACACUAUGUAGAGGUCGUGCACUUUACUCACAAGUCAUGAUCAUAAUUUGUUGCUGGUACCUGUUAGUACCUUAUACACUUCCAAUGUGUACACCAAGUUGACCACUACAAAGCCUUUACAAUGUCUCUCUCAGCACGUGCAUACUCGCUAAGAUUUCACCACCACAUAAAUACACCUCAUCAAUAGAGGACCCUCUUGCGCCAAUGGAACCUUAGAAGUACACCCUUUCAUUCUACACAACUGGAUGGUCUACACUUUGUUUCGCGAUAGAGACACUCGCUCUCGAUAACAUAUAACUUGAAAAGUAAUAUUGCGGGGCGUGCCAAUAUACAUAAAGUAAAGACGUAAAAGGAUAAUAAUGCAACAGAAAAAUUGAUCUUUAUUUAUUCAUUAUCGAAUUCGUAAAGUAAAACGUUUCUCUCAUUACAUUAUGUUACUCCACACACACAUAUCCGAUUAGCUUGAUCAUCCGGCCAUUACGUCUUCUUGGUUCCAGCCUCGUCGGUCAAGGAAAAGGAGACUUCAAGUGGUAUACCGGUCUUCACAAUGAGGACAAACAGAUGUGUGAUAGUAGUAGAAUUAUGCUCAUGCAACAACUUGGAGAUUUCUCUCCGUAUAAGCUUCUGAAAACAGCUCCACAAUACGUAAUGGAAUGUCUGUUUAGCUUCCUCUGACGACAUGUUGUGCUCUUUAUACAUCCCAAGGGAGAGAAAACACUGACGAUAUUUGGCGCCACGGAUUGAAGUCUCUUCAGGCUGGUCUGCGAUACCGCCCUCACCACCAAGCUGAUAGGUAGAUGUGAUCACAGAACAUGCCGGGAAGGUCAACAAGAUCUCGAGAAUAGCAAGGUUUGUAUUCUGAAUACCGGGACGUGUUGCCUACUGCUGAAGAAAUACAUGAAUUAUAUU